Molecule: ribosomal RNA, 229 nt
Filed under: uncultured bacterium
Lineage: Bacteria
Description: partial 16S ribosomal RNA
Rfam family: Bacterial small subunit ribosomal RNA
Source: RNAcentral
CGUGUAGGCGGCCAGGUAAGUCGGAUGUGAAAGUCCCGGGCUCAACCCGGGAAGUGCAUUCGAAACUGCUUGGCUAGAGUAAGAGAAAGGAAAGUGGAAUUCCUGGUGUAGAGGUGAAAUUCGUAGAUAUCAGGAGGAACACCGGUGGCGAAGGCGGCUUUCUGGCUCUAUACUGACGCUGAGACGCGAAAGCGUGGGUAGCAAACAGGAUUAGAUACCCUGGUAGUCC